This 213-nucleotide long non-coding RNA is filed under the name Homo sapiens (human). RNAcentral's name for it is "HSALNT0263788". Lineage: Eukaryota; Metazoa; Chordata; Mammalia; Primates; Hominidae. The record is from RNAcentral.
UACAUUGACAAAGGUGGCCAUCAGAUACUGGCAGUCAAAGCGAUCCAUGAUGCCUCCAUGGCCAGGAAUGGCUCGUUUGAAUCCACUUGCGAAGAAUCCUCCAAAGGGGCCAAUGAGCGAGGCAAAGGUGGAGAGAGCGAUGCUGUGAAUCUGGAAGGGGUACAUCCGGACCGUUUUCUGAGAAGAGUAAAUGAAGUAAAAGUUUAGGUGCAU